CAAUAGCGUAUAUUUAAGUUGUUGCAGUUAAAAAGCUCGUAGUUGGAUUUCGGGUGGGACGCAGCGGUCUCGCAUUGCGUUUGUACUGCUGCAGCCCUCCUUCUUGCCGGGGGCGGCCUCUCGGACUUCACUGUCUGGGGGUCAGAAUCGGCGAUGUUACUUUGAGUAAAUUAGAGUGAUCAAAGCAAGCUUACGCUCUGAAUAUAAUAGCAUGGGAUAACACGACAGGACUCUGGCCUAUCGUGUUGGUCUAUAGGACCAGAGUAAUGAUUAAGAGGGACAGUCGGGGGCAUUCGUAUUCCGUUGUCAGAGGUGAAAUUCUUGGAUUUACGGAAGACGAACAUCUGCGAAAGCAUUUGCCAAGGAUGUUUNCAUUG
This 377-nucleotide ribosomal RNA is filed under the name uncultured eukaryote. RNAcentral's name for it is "partial 18S ribosomal RNA". It matches the Rfam family "Eukaryotic small subunit ribosomal RNA", at positions 592 to 975 of the family's 1831-position model. The record is from RNAcentral.